Molecule: long non-coding RNA, 140 nt
Organism: Rhagoletis zephyria (snowberry fruit fly)
Lineage: Eukaryota; Metazoa; Arthropoda; Insecta; Diptera; Tephritidae
Source: RefSeq, a predicted model, not a curated record
AUGAUUUGCAACUGUUAAUAUAUAUCAAAACAAAGGUAAAUCGAUUACCAUUCUUUUGAUGAUAACAUUGUUAAAAUCGAUUAACUAAUUUAUACAAAUUUUGCAACUUUUGAAAACGUCUAUAUAUAAGUCGAAAAAAC